Long non-coding RNA from Vidua chalybeata, 1249 nucleotides. RefSeq lists it as uncharacterized. The record is from RefSeq and is a predicted model, not a curated record. NCBI's taxonomy places the organism in Eukaryota, Metazoa, Chordata, Aves, Passeriformes, Viduidae. The transcript is spliced from 4 exons.
CACCUCGUCUCCUCUUCUCCCAGGCAGACCCUGCCGCGAGGGCAUCGGCCUCCGGGCGCGGCCAGAUGAGGCGGACGUUCUUAGGAGAAUGCUGAGCAAGGGGCCACAGUCGGUGACUCUAGGAGACUGCCAGUGGGCGAGGCGGCCUUCCUCGGCACCGGACGUGGAUUCUCGUCCCCGGACGUCCGAGAGAUAAGUCGAGGGCCGGGGCCCUGAGAGGGGAUGGAAGCGAGGCGCUGGGAGGGCUUUUGGAGGCAGCUUUGGAGAUGGGGGUGGCCCUUUAGGCCACAUAAAGGAAAAGCCUCACAGUGCUGAAGUGCUCAGGGCAGAGCAGUGCCGGUGCACGGUGUGUCACUUGUCCGUCGUGCCUUCUGUGUCUUUUGCCUUAGUCCUUUGAGGGGCUUAUCGGAAGCCCGGGCGUCCAUCUUUGCAUCUCUCAUCUCUGUGUUCCUCGGCCCCGUGCCGAUUCCUUCUUACCUUUGGCUCGGGAGCCCGCACAGGCCUUGGAGUAGCAUCCGGUCAGAUGUCUUUUGCGGUCUUGUUCUGGGCUGUUCUCGACAGCUGUGAUUUGUGACAAUUGUGACGGCAAGGAUGCGAUCUAGCAGAUUAGGACUCGUAGCAAUGCGGAGAUCCGUAGAGCAUUCUGACGCUAGGAUUCUCGGGCAUCCUUCUCUGCCUUGCUUGGAAUAGGUCAUUCAGUUAGCAUCUUGUUCCUGCAGGGUUCUCUGCGCCUUAGAGGCUCGCCAUCAGUCUCAGCUAGGUCAUCUCAAUCUGCAGUCUCUGGCUCCCUGAGGGCAUUCUUCUCGCUCAGAGCUUUCUCCCCGUGUUGUGUCCCCUUGUUUGUCUUGUUCUGUGUCACGGGUGUCUGGGUAUUUGGCCUGGAGCUGCUCUGCCCUGCUGCAUAGCCUGGUGUAGGUCUAGAAUGGGGCGUGUCCUGGGGCCUGGAAAUUUGUAAUGUGGGGUGUAUUUGGACUCUAGAUGGGAUCUGUAGAUUGAUGAAGGCUAUCUGGAGCUGUUAAGUUAUCCUGCAGUGCUCUGACUUUUGUCCUAACGUUCUUUCAGACGCAGCCAGAUGGAAUCCGUGGCAGAGGGCCCCGUCCCGGGUGAGGGGGGUCCCCCGAGAAGGAACUAAAGCCAGAUACUAGCAGUCAAGGCGGUCCGCUCGUAUUACGCCGAGACCCCCCUCAGCAACGGGGCCGCAGACACCCGCUUCGUCACUCUCGUGGGAAUUUGGGAAGCAGCGCACGGA